This 459-nucleotide ribosomal RNA is filed under the name uncultured bacterium. Its description in RNAcentral is "partial 16S ribosomal RNA". It matches the Rfam family "Bacterial small subunit ribosomal RNA", at positions 338 to 795 of the family's 1533-position model. The record is from RNAcentral.
CCUACGGGGGGCAGCAGUGAGGAAUAUUGGUCAAUGGUCGGGAGACUGAACCAGCCAAGCCGCGUGAGGGAUGAAGGUACAGAGUAGCGUAAACCUCUUUUGUCAGGGAACAAAGGCGGGGACGUGUCCCCGGCUGAGUGUACCUGAAGAAAAAGCAUCGGCUAACUCCGUGCCAGCAGCCGCGGUAAUACGGAGGAUGCGAGCGUUAUCCGGAUUUAUUGGGUUUAAAGGGUGCGCAGGGGGGCGGUUAAGUCAGCGGGAAAAGCCCGGGGCAAAACGCCGGCCCGCCGUUGAAACUGGCGGUCUCGAGUGGGGGAGAAGUAGGAGGAAUGUGCGGUGUAGCGGUGAAAUGCAUAGAUAUCGCGCAGAACUCCGAUUGCGAAGGCAGCAUGCCGGCUCCACACUGACGCUGAGGCACGAAAGCGUGGGUAUCGAACAGGAUUAGAUACCCUAGUAGUC